UUUAUAAAUAAAGUGAAGUUCUUUAAAGCUUUAAUAUAAUUUAGAAAACAAAAACCCAAGAGAGAAACUGUAAAAUUGACCCAUAAGUAUCAUAAAGUCUAUUAUCGUGUUGGGUGGCGACUCGAGCUACGGAGGUCACUGGUCACGGAGAGAGCAGCUGAGAGGGCCGGUUGAGCGUUAGGCUUGUUUUGUGGUUUGUUGAGUUCUCUUGUAAUUUGUGAAAGAAUGGAGAUUGGAGAAGAAGCUGCCUAAGAAGGAGAUGAACAUCAAAUGAGGUCGUUGCCUUGCCUGCUAGCCUAGUCGCCUUUU
Molecule: long non-coding RNA, 309 nt
Filed under: Olea europaea (common olive)
Lineage: Eukaryota; Viridiplantae; Streptophyta; Magnoliopsida; Lamiales; Oleaceae
Description: long non-coding RNA (OEUR_LNC003580)
Source: RNAcentral